This 21-nucleotide non-coding RNA is filed under the name Arabidopsis thaliana (thale cress). Lineage: Eukaryota; Viridiplantae; Streptophyta; Magnoliopsida; Brassicales; Brassicaceae. The record is from RNAcentral.
ACAAACGCCGUUGAUUGUUAC